Molecule: ribosomal RNA, 376 nt
Filed under: uncultured fungus
Lineage: Eukaryota; Fungi
Description: LSU rRNA
Source: RNAcentral
UUGAAAGGGAAACGAUUGAAGUCAGUCAUACCAACGGGAAAUCAACCUUUUGAGUUUGUUCUUGUGGGUUUCGAGGAGUUUAAAAGCCUUCGGAUUUGCUAGGAUUGGGCUCUUUUGGUGUACUUUCUCGUACGGUUAGUCAACAUCGGUUUUGAAUGUCAUAAAAUGACUGGAGGAAUGUGGCUUCCAUCUCGUAUCGAAGUGUUAUAGCCUUUGGUAGAUGUGAUGUUCGAGACCGAGGAUUGCAAUGGAUACCCUUCUGGGCUAUUCGUCUGAUCUCUGAUACGUUGCCUUGAUGUCGAAAGCUCGCUUAUGAUGUUAGGGUAUUACGGUCAAAAGGUUAGAACGGAUUAAAUUCGUUAAGGAUGUUGACGUA